CAGAUGUUGGUUCGCCACACAAGAGCGAUUAAAAAGGGAAGUAGGUGCAAGUCCUACACAGUCCCGCUGCUGUAAGCCCUGUUGUUGAAAGGCAACGGCGCCACUGAGCCAAAACGGCUUGGGAAGGCUGCCUUUCAAUGGGUAAAGUCAGAAGACCUGCCAAUGUUUAA
Molecule: non-coding RNA, 170 nt
Filed under: uncultured Prevotella sp.
Lineage: Bacteria; Pseudomonadati; Bacteroidota; Bacteroidia; Bacteroidales; Prevotellaceae
Source: RNAcentral